This 220-nucleotide ribosomal RNA is filed under the name uncultured bacterium. RNAcentral describes it as "partial 16S ribosomal RNA". It matches the Rfam family "Bacterial small subunit ribosomal RNA", at positions 122 to 334 of the family's 1533-position model. The record is from RNAcentral.
CGAACCUGCCCUGCAGAUGGGGAUAACUCCGGGAAACCGGGGCUAAUACCGAAUAAUCAGCACUCUCGCAUGAGAGUACUCUGAAAGACGGUUUCGGCUGUCACUGCAGGAUGGGCCCGCGGCGCAUUAGCUAGUUGGUAAGGUAACGGCUUACCAAGGCGACGAUGCGUAGCCGACCUGAGAGGGUGAUCGGCCACACUGGGACUGAGACACGGCCCAG